GAUGAACGCUAGCGGCAGGCUUAACACAUGCGAGUCGAACGGCAGCACAGGUAGCAAUACUGGGUGGCGAGUGGCGCACGGGUGCGUAACGCGUAUGCAACUUACCUCUAACUGGAGAAUAGCCCAAAGAAAUUCGGAUUAAUACUCCAUAAUAUAUAUUGACCGCAUGGUUGAAAUAUUAAAGUUUUUACGGUUAGAGAUAGGCAUGCGUGACAUUAGCUAGUUGGUAAGGUAAUGGCUUACCAAGGCUACGAUGUCUAGGGGGUCUGAGAGGAUGAUCCGCCACACUGGAGCUGAGACACGGUCCAGACUCCUACGGGAGGCAGCAGUGGGGAAUUUUGGACAAUGGGCGCAAGCCUGAUCCAGCCAUGCCGCGUGAGUGAAGAAGGCCUU
Molecule: ribosomal RNA, 393 nt
Filed under: uncultured bacterium
Lineage: Bacteria
Description: bacterial SSU rRNA
Rfam family: Bacterial small subunit ribosomal RNA
Source: RNAcentral